This 380-nucleotide ribosomal RNA is filed under the name uncultured eukaryote. RNAcentral's name for it is "partial 18S ribosomal RNA". It matches the Rfam family "Eukaryotic small subunit ribosomal RNA", at positions 592 to 976 of the family's 1831-position model. The record is from RNAcentral.
CAAUAGCGUAUAUUAAAGCUGUUGCGGUUAAAAAGCUCGUAGUUGGAUUUCUGUCAAGUACAACUGGUCCGCCCUCCGGGUGAGCACAUAGUUUGGUCUUGGCAUCUUGCUGGAAAUUGUUGCUGCACUUGGCUGUGUGGCGCAGUGUCCAGCACUUUCACUUUGAGGAAAUUGGAGUGUUUCAAGCAGGCAAUGCCUUUGAACACAGUAGCAUGGAAUAAUUAGAUUGGGCUUUUGCUCCAAUUUGUUGGUUUCUGGAGCUGAGGUGAGAAUUAAUGGGGAUUGUUGGGGGCAUCCGAAUUUAGCCGUCAGAGGUGAAAUUCUUGGAUCGGCUAAAGACGGACAACUGCGAAAGCGUUUGCCCAGGAUGUUUUCAUUGA